RNAcentral lists this ribosomal RNA (616 nucleotides) under Brettanomyces anomalus. RNAcentral describes it as "eukaryotic LSU rRNA". It matches the Rfam family "Eukaryotic large subunit ribosomal RNA", at positions 36 to 655 of the family's 3401-position model. Lineage: Eukaryota; Fungi; Ascomycota; Pichiomycetes; Pichiales; Pichiaceae. The record is from RNAcentral.
UUGCAUAUCAAUAAGCGGAGGAAAAGAAACCAACAGGGAUUGCCCCAGUAAUGGCGAAUGAAGCGGCAAGAGCCCAAAUUUGAAAUCAGGCCCUCGUGGCUUGAGUUGUAAUUUGGAGACGGGAUACUAGAGAGAGGGAGGGCGACUAAGUGCCUUGGAACAGGCUGCCGUAGAGGGUGAGAGCCCCGUGAGUCGCGUGAACUUGAUCAAUUAGUGCCCGCCGAAGAGUCGAGUUGUUUGGGAAUGCAGCUCUAAGUGGGUGGUAUAUUCCAUCUAAGGCUAAAUAUUAGCGAGAGACCGAUAGCAAACAAGUACAGUGAUGGAAAGAUGAAAAGAACUUUGGAAAGAGAGUGAAAUAGUACGUGAAAUUGUUGAAAGGGAAGGGUAUUUGAUCCGACAUGGUGUUUAGCAGCGGCCCGUUCCUCGUGGAUGGGUGCACCUGGUUUACACUGGGCCAGCAUCGGUUCUGGGAGCCAUAUACGGGGCCGGCGAAUGUGGCCCUUCGAUUCUGUCGGAGGGUGUUAUAGCGCCAGCCAGACGUGGCUAUCCGGGACCGGGGACUGCGGCGAUUCUAUCGCCAAGGAUGCUGGCAGAACGAGCAAAUACCGCCCGUCUU